CCGAGUGAGGGGGCCUCGCGCCCUCGACCUCCCAACCCUUUGUUUAACCAACUCUGUUGCCUCGGGGGGACCCGGCCGCGUGUCGGGCGCCCCCAGAGGGCCAAUCAACUCUGCAUCCUUGCGUCGGAGUAUUGAAAGCAAAUCAAUCA
RNAcentral lists this unclassified non-coding RNA (149 nucleotides) under uncultured Rhinocladiella. Its description in RNAcentral is "sequence contains ITS1". The record is from RNAcentral. Lineage: Eukaryota; Fungi; Ascomycota; Eurotiomycetes; Chaetothyriales; Herpotrichiellaceae.